CACUCCUACGGGAGGCAGCAGUGGGGAAUUUUGGACAAUGGGCGAAAGCCUGAUCCAGCAAUGCCGCGUGAGUGAAGAAGGCCUUCGGGUUGUAAAGCUCUUUUGUCAGGGAAGAAACGGUGAAAGCUAAUAUCUUUUGCUAAUGACGGUACCUGAAGAAUAAGCACCGGCUAACUACGUGCCAGCAGCCGCGGUAAUACGUAGGGUGCAAGCGUUAAUCGGAAUUACUGGGCGUAAAGCGUGCGCAGGCGGUUUUGUAAGUCUGAUGUGAAAUCCCCGGGCUCAACCUGGCAAUUGCAUUGGAGACUGCAAGGCUAGAAUCUGGCAGAGGGGGGUAGAAUUCCACGUGUAGCAGUGAAAUGCGUAGAUAUGUGGAGGAACACCGAUGGCGAAGGCAGCCCCCUGGGUCAAGAUUGACGCUCAUGCACGAAAGCGUGGGGAGCAAACAGGAUUAGAUACCCUGGUAGUCCCA
Molecule: ribosomal RNA, 472 nt
Filed under: uncultured organism
Description: partial 16S ribosomal RNA
Rfam family: Bacterial small subunit ribosomal RNA
Source: RNAcentral